UGCGAUCAUACCAGCACUAAUGCACCGGAUCCCAUCAGAACUCCACAGUUAAGCGUGCUUGGGCGAGAGUAGUACUAGGAUGGGUGACCCCCUGGGAAGUCCUCGUGUUGCA
This 112-nucleotide ribosomal RNA is filed under the name Rhododendron griersonianum. The record is from RNAcentral. Lineage: Eukaryota; Viridiplantae; Streptophyta; Magnoliopsida; Ericales; Ericaceae.